UAGGGAAUCUUCGGCAAUGGACGAAAGUCUGACCGAGCAACGCCGCGUGAGUGAAGAAGGUUUUCGGAUCGUAAAACUCUGUUGUUAGAGAAGAACAAGGACGUUAGUAACUGAACGUCCCCUGACGGUAUCUAACCAGAAAGCCACGGCUAACUACGUGUCAGCAGCCGCGGUAAUACGUAGGUGGCAAGCGUUGUCCGGAUUUAUUGGGCGUAAAGCGAGCGCAGGCGGUUUCUUAAGUCUGAUGUGAAAGCCCCCGGCUCAACCGGGGAGGGUCAUUGGAAACUGGGAGACUUGAGUGCAGAAGAGGAGAGUGGAAUUCCAUGUGUAGCGGUGAAAUGCGUAGAUAUAUGGAGGAACACCAGUGGCGAAGGCGGCUCUCUGGUCUGUAACUGACGCUGAGGCUCGAAAGCGUGGGGAGCAAACAGG
RNAcentral lists this ribosomal RNA (429 nucleotides) under Gemmatimonadota bacterium. Its description in RNAcentral is "Gemmatimonadetes bacterium partial 16S ribosomal RNA". It matches the Rfam family "Bacterial small subunit ribosomal RNA", at positions 355 to 776 of the family's 1533-position model. The record is from RNAcentral. Lineage: Bacteria; Pseudomonadati; Gemmatimonadota.